RNAcentral lists this ribosomal RNA (563 nucleotides) under uncultured Lachnospiraceae bacterium. RNAcentral describes it as "bacterial SSU rRNA". It matches the Rfam family "Bacterial small subunit ribosomal RNA", at positions 94 to 673 of the family's 1533-position model. The record is from RNAcentral. Lineage: Bacteria; Bacillati; Bacillota; Clostridia; Lachnospirales; Lachnospiraceae.
AGUGGCGGACGGGUGAGUAACGCGUGAGGAACCUGCCUUUCAGAGGGGGACAACAGUUGGAAACGACUGCUAAUACCGCAUGACACAUAGAGAUCGCAUGGUUUUUAUGUCAAAGAUUUAUCGCUGAAAGAUGGCCUCGCGUCUGAUUAGCUAGUUGGUGAGGUAACGGCCCACCAAGGCGACGAUCAGUAGCCGGACUGAGAGGUUGACCGGCCACAUUGGGACUGAGAUACGGCCCAGACUCCUACGGGAGGCAGCAGUGGGGAAUAUUGGGCAAUGGGCGCAAGCCUGACCCAGCAACGCCGCGUGAAGGAAGAAGGCUUUCGGGUUGUAAACUUCUUUUGUCGGGGACGAGUAGAAGACGGUACCUGGCGAAUAAGCCACGGCUAACUACGUGCCAGCAGCCGCGGUAAUACGUAGGUGGCAAGCGUUGUCCGGAUUUACUGGGUGUAAAGGGCGUGUAGCCGGGAAGGCAAGUCAGAUGUGAAAUCCACGGGCUUAACUCGUGAACUGCAUUUGAAACUACUUUUCUUGAGUAUCGGAGAGGCAAUCGGAAUUCCUAG